CCUACGGGAGGCAGCAGUGGGGAAUAUUGCACAAUGGGGGAAACCCUGAUGCAGCGACGCCGCGUGAGUGAAGAAGUAUUUCGGUAUGUAAAGCUCUAUCAGCAGGGAAGAAAAUGACGGUACCUGACUAAGAAGCCCCGGCUAACUACGUGCCAGCAGCCGCGGUAAUACGUAGGGGGCAGGCGUUAUCCGGAUUUACUGGGUGUAAAGGGAGCGUAGACGGCAGAGCAAGUCUGAAGUGAAAGCCCGGGGCCCAACUGCGGGACUGCUUUGGAAACUGCCCGGCUAGAGUGCUGGAGAGGUAAGCGGAAUUCCUAGUGUAGCGGUGAAAUGCGUAGAUAUUAGGAGGAACACCAGUGGCGAAGGCGGCUUACUGGACAGUAACUGACGUUGAGGCUCGAAAGCGUGGGGAGCAAACAGGAUUAGAUACCCCAGUAGUC
Molecule: ribosomal RNA, 440 nt
Filed under: uncultured bacterium
Lineage: Bacteria
Description: partial 16S ribosomal RNA
Rfam family: Bacterial small subunit ribosomal RNA
Source: RNAcentral